This 222-nucleotide ribosomal RNA is filed under the name uncultured bacterium. RNAcentral's name for it is "partial 16S ribosomal RNA". It matches the Rfam family "Bacterial small subunit ribosomal RNA", at positions 109 to 334 of the family's 1533-position model. The record is from RNAcentral.
AGUAAUGCUUGGGAAUAUGCCUUAUGGUGGGGGACAACAGUUGGAAACGACUGCUAAUACCGCAUAACGUCUACGGACCAAAGGGGGGGAUCUUCGGACCUCUCGCCAUUUGAUUAGCCCGAGUGAGAUUAGCUAGUUGGUGAGGUAAUGGCUCACCAAGGCGACGAUCUCUAGCUGGUUUGAGAGGAUGAUCAGCCACACUGGGACUGAGACACGGCCCAG